RNAcentral lists this unclassified non-coding RNA (1443 nucleotides) under uncultured fungus. Its description in RNAcentral is "sequence contains 18S rRNA gene, ITS1, 5.8S rRNA gene, ITS2, 28S rRNA gene". The stretch from base 503 to 1443 matches the Rfam family "Eukaryotic large subunit ribosomal RNA", at positions 1 to 961 of the family's 3401-position model. The record is from RNAcentral. Lineage: Eukaryota; Fungi.
GGAAGGAUCAUUACCUUUUAUUCAGUAUGGGAGCCUACAGUCCGCUGUAGUUCCCUGUCUGUAUCCGUGUCUUUUGCGUACUUGAACGUUUCCUCGGCGGCUUACCCCGCCGAACGGACAACUAUAUAACCUUUUUUGCAAUUGCAAUCAGCGUCUGAACAAACACAAUAUUUACAACUUUCAACAACGGAUCUCUUGGUUCUGGCAUCGAUGAAGAACGCAGCGAAAUGCGAUAAGUAGUGUGAAUUGCAGAAUUCAGUGAAUCAUCGAAUCUUUGAACGCACAUUGCGCCCCUUGGUAUUCCAUGGGGCAUGCCUGUUCGAGCGUCAUUUGUACCCUCAAGCUCUGCUUGGUGUUGGGUGUUUGUUGGGGGGAAGUGCCUCGGCACCUCUGCCCGACUCGCCUUAAAUGUAUUGGCAGCCGGCGUAUUGGCUUAUGAGCGCAGCACAUUUUGCGAUUGUAGCCGCUAUUCUGGCGUCCAGCAAGCCUAAAUUAUCACUUUUGACCUCGGAUCAGGUAGGGAUACCCGCUGAACUUAAGCAUAUCAAUAAGCGGAGGAAAAGAAACCAACAGGGAUUGCCCUAGUAACGGCGAGUGAAGCGGCAACAGCUCAAAUUUGAAAUCUGGCUCUUUUAGAGUCCGAGUUGUAAUUUGCAGAGGGCGCUUUGGCGUCGGCAGCGGUCCAAGUUCUUUGGAACAGGACGUCACAGAGGGUGAGAAUCCCGUACGUGGUCGCUAGCCUUCGCCGUGUAAAGCCCCUUCGACGAGUCGAGUUGUUUGGGAAUGCAGCUCUAAAUGGGAGGUAAAUUUCUUCUAAAGCUAAAUACUGGCCAGAGACCGAUAGCGCACAAGUAGAGUGAUCGAAAGAUGAAAAGCACUUUGGAAAGAGAGUCAAACAGCACGUGAAAUUGUUGAAAGGGAAGCGCUUGCAGCCAGACUUGCCUGUAGUUGCUUACCUAGACUUUUGUCUGGGGCACUCUUCUGCAGGCAGGCCAGCAUCAGUUUGGGCGGUUGGAUAAAGGUCUCUGUCAUGUACCUCUCUUCGGGGAGGCCUUAUAGGGGAGACGACAUACAACCAGCCUGGACUGAGGUCCGCGCAUCUGCUAGGAUGCUGGCGUAAUGGCUGUAAGCGGCCCGUCUUGAAACACGGACCAAGGAGUCUAACAUCUAUGCGAGUGUUUGGGUGUCAAGCCCAGACGCGUAAUGAAAGUGAACGGAGGUGGGAACCCUUUGGGUGCACCAUCGACCGAUCCUGAUGUCUUCGGAUGGAUUUGAGUAAGAGCAUGGCUGUUGGGACCCGAAAGAUGGUGAACUAUGCUUGAAUAGGGUGAAGCCAGAGGAAACUCUGGUGGAGGCUCGCAGCGGUUCUGACGUGCAAAUCGAUCGUCAAAUUUGGGCAUAGGGGCGAAAGACUAAUCGAACUAUCUAGUAGCUGGUUCCUGC